AGCAGAGAAGCAGAAGCAGAACUACGAGACAUGAAAAGCCAUCCUUUCCCCAACGGGUUCUGUCAAAACAUUCUAGACCCAGGCUUAGAGAAAGUGCCUCCAUUACGCUGGAAACAUAAUGGAUGCCCCUCAGUUACCCUUACAGAACAGAAGCUCUGUCUGGACAAAUUGCAGCCACAAGCGGGGGGUCGAGGGCCCCAUGCAGCAGCACACCUGCAAAAAGCUUUUACUUCUCACCCGGGCGGUGCUGCAGGCUGACUGGUCUUUGGGCACUGUAAUCCUGGCGGAUCCGCGAGGCAGAGAAGAGAAAAACUUCCAUUCACAGACGCCUUCGGUCUUGGAGAUCUUAUAGAAGGUCUCGCCUGACCCCACCGGGAUGCGCACCAAGUCCUUGUGCUGAGCCUCCAGGGCGUGGCUGGGCGGGUGCAGGGUGUAGCCCAGGGUGUGCUUGGAAGACUGCUUCCUGCGGAGACACUGGAUUCGCAGGACAUUCUGGAAGGCCUUUUUAAACUCUUGACUGGAGCAUGGGUAGAUGAUGGGGUUGAUGCAGCUGUUCAGGUAUCCAAGCCAAAAUGCUAUUUUAAAAACUGUUUCUGAGGGUUUGGAUUCAGGGAAGAAAGAGCCUGAAAGAAAACACACAGAUUCAUAUACGUUAUUUAUAAUCCAACAGGUAAAUUAGUUCAGAAACCAAAGCAACAGACCACUAAGUAUGUUUUUAUGUCUUUAAAAAUUUCUAAUGAUUCUAAGUAAACAUGAGUUUCUCACAUUGGACUGACAAGCUCCUGAGACUGUAAACUCCUGUAAUAUUCUCAAAGGCCAUACUCACCUGGCCCACAGGUACAUCAAUUAUGGAAGCAGAUCCAUUGGGUAGAUUUGCACCAGUUCUGAAUGAUAACAUAUCACUUGAUGUCUGUGAUGAAGCUUUAACUAAUGAAGACAUGAAAUUGAAGCUGAGUCUACAUAUGUACAUUGUUAUGCCUGAACUUACAAUAAAUUGGAAUCCAUUCAAAUAAUCCACAUUAAAAUUGGGGCACCUCAAUAUUCCCUUUUUCUUUGAUGUAGUAUUAGAUAAGACACAUACUGAAGCCUGGAUUUUUUUUCUCAAGUACACUGGUAAUUAUUACAGGC
Talpa occidentalis (Iberian mole) is the source of this 1128-nucleotide long non-coding RNA. RefSeq lists it as uncharacterized. The transcript is spliced from 3 exons. NCBI's taxonomy places the organism in Eukaryota, Metazoa, Chordata, Mammalia, Eulipotyphla, Talpidae. The record is from RefSeq and is a predicted model, not a curated record.